GAUCUUUUCUCCCAUGUAUUGAGUAAUGCGUAUCUGCCUAAUUAGCAAGUUAUUAGUAUUAAAACAAUCCUCCUUUUUCUCCUCCCAAGGAAUCUGAAUAUGAGGAUCUCUUAUUCUCUCUCUUUCUCAUCCUUUUUUUUGUUGCAUUUCUUGAUUCUCAGGUUUUAGUAAGCUUUAUAUACCUUCUUAUACACUCUUGGUGGAUCAGUAUUUUCCAUAAUGUGUCUUGCUAAUUCUUCAGGUAGGAUUCUUCUCAGCAGUUCUUCAUUCCACUCUCCAUCUUCUGCUACUUCUUUGAUUAGUAUGAUUGUUUGACCACAGAUAAAGCCUGCUGGAGUAAUGUGGUAUAGAGCCCCCAAUCUUGUCCAGUUAUCCAAUCACAAGUAGUUCAUGACCACAGAAGAUGGCAGAGGCGAACCCAAGAUUUGCAGAAUCCAGGUGCACCAAUAUUAUCUUAAUUUAGGUGUUAGCGAAACUUUCAAUGACAAUUAAUGGAUAAUGUAGUAUUCGAUCGCUAAUGACUUGAACAAAAUUGGAAAUAU
Molecule: long non-coding RNA, 542 nt
Organism: Solanum dulcamara
Lineage: Eukaryota; Viridiplantae; Streptophyta; Magnoliopsida; Solanales; Solanaceae
Exons: 3
Source: RefSeq, a predicted model, not a curated record